AUGUUUCUGGAACAAAUUAUGCUUGCAAACUGAGGCUUUUACUGUAUUUAGUUUUUUGUACAUUUAAAGUAGCAUUGGGCAUAGUUUGUAUCUUAUACAGUUAGUUUCAGUGCUCUGUUUAUGAGAGCUUUUAUAGUAUGUUAGAGCCAGUUUGGACUUCCAUCCCCAACCAAGUUGGAGGUUGGUAGGACACAAGAGGUUUUGCUCAGACCCAAAUGCCGCUUGAAAAAAAGGAGAAAUAUAAGCCCUUUCUAAUCUCUCUGGGAGCACAAAUGAUUUAUAGAUAUGACAUUUAACCACAAUCCCUUUGAUAUCAUUUGAGUUCAGUAAGGAACAAUUUCUUGAUGUUGUUUGUUUGAACAGAAAUAGCAUGCUUGUACAAUGUUGGGCAAAGAUUUCUUCUAGGAACUCUGAAAAAGAUGAUUAUGUCAGAUAUAUUUGGACACAAUAAAUGACAGUCAUGUUAUUUCCAUCUUUUUAUUUCCCAGGACAAAGGGGCAAAUUCAUUAUAUGAUGAGUGUUGGGGCUUCAGGACAAUACAAGGAAGUUUGGCUGUGAAGAAUUCGUUUGGAUGUUAAUUUUCAUGGACAAUUGACAGACACUAAUGCUGGAAGCCGAGCCAUGCCAGCCUGAGUGGCAAAGCCUGGGAUGUGGACGGAUUGGUGACUGCAAGGCGGCCAACCGACACUGAAGCUUCUUGUACUCCUGCUUUUAGAGGAAGGGUUUGGAGCUGCACGGACAAAUAGAGGAAAGACGGUCAUGGGACAAGAGAGGCAGACACUGAGGCAAUAUGGUUCUGCUGCUGAGAACACCAAGGAUUCCCAACAACCACCAGAAAGAAGCCAGAAGAGGCAAAGAAAGAUUCUCUCCUAGAUCCUACCUGUUGGCACCUUGAUUUGGGACUUCUAGCCUUCAGAACUGUGAAAGAAUAAAUUUCUGUUAUUUAAGCCACCCAGUCUGUGGUAUUUUGUUAUGGCAGCCCUGGGAGAUUAAUAUAGUAUUUAAAUAUAAAGUUUUUUUUCCUUUUUUUCUGUAUCCUCUCUCAACUUGUCCUGGUGGCUUUUUUUUUUUUAAUUUGCUAUGUAAUGUUUUUCUGAAUAAAGGUUUAAAUUAUUGUGA
Acinonyx jubatus (cheetah) is the source of this 1119-nucleotide long non-coding RNA. RefSeq lists it as uncharacterized. The record is from RefSeq and is a predicted model, not a curated record. The transcript is spliced from 4 exons. NCBI's taxonomy places the organism in Eukaryota, Metazoa, Chordata, Mammalia, Carnivora, Felidae.